This 2438-nucleotide long non-coding RNA is filed under the name Vitis vinifera (wine grape). Its description in RNAcentral is "long non-coding RNA (VVIN_LNC001378)". The record is from RNAcentral. Lineage: Eukaryota; Viridiplantae; Streptophyta; Magnoliopsida; Vitales; Vitaceae.
GACAAACUUAAAUGUCUAGAUUGCUGGUAAAGAUCUCACUUGAGGGGAAUGAACCUAGAUGAGUGGGUGGCACCAAUACCAGGUCUUCCAUGCUUCACUGGCUUGUAUGAGAUUGAGAACUCCGCCAAAUAAUGCCCAAUCAUUUCCGGUUUGAUUUCAACCUGAUUGAAGGUCUUCCCAUUGUACACGCCAAUAAUGCUUCCAAUCAUUUCAGGUACGAUGAUCAUAUUGCGCAGAUGGGUUCUGACUGGUUCUGGCUUCUCACCAGGUGGGGCCUCACGUUUCUGAUUCAAAACAUUACCACAAAAAUCAGUCAAGGCUGAAGCAAGUUUCUAUAACCCUCGUAACUCAUAAUUGACUAUUAACAAAAUACUACAGAAAAUUGUUGAUGCUCCUGAAAAACAGUCCAGCCAAAUCAUGAUACUUCUGUGAAUUUGAUUGCAAGAAACCAUACUAAAAGAUAAUAUCAAAAAAGAAUUGAUCUAAAAGAGGCAAAAAUUGAGGAUCUUACAUAUAAAAAUUUCAUCCCUUAUCAUCUCUAGCAACAAUGGAAGAACACUGUCAUAUUGAGACCACAUUGCACAUUUUCCCAGGUAUUGAAUCAAGGCCAUAAAGCGCCUACUGAGUUUUGAAUCAAAGGAUUCUAACAUAUAUGCCAACCAUGUGGCGAUGGGAAUAAAGACAGAUUCAAGAGAGUUAACAGAAACAUAGCUCAAAUGGAUUUUCAAAAGAUAGUUAGCAUUAAGAUUCAUAGUCUUGUAGAUUCUGCAUAUCAAAUAGUCUUUUGGAGAUGAACCCUAGCUUAGCAAAGCUCAUCACUAUUUCUUUACCACCUGAAAUUAUAUGAACAUUCCAAGUUCUCCCUCUCAGAAACAUGAAGCAUUGAGUCAAGAGAGACUGUACUGACAUAAAGGAUUUCUCUUUACAUAUGAAUUCAUUUAGAUUCUAAUAAUAUCUGUUGAAGAUAUUCUUCACAAAUUUAGCCUCCUGUUCAGCAUGGAAUGUAGAUCGUGUUCUCUUCAAAUCCACCAGCAAGGGCAAUUCUAAAGAGCCCUUUCACUUCACAAUACCAAUCAAUGCCUCAUCCCCCUCCAAACAAGACCCCUUUUCUAAGUUUCAAAUGUAUCACACACAUUUUAACUUCACAAUUACACACCAACAUAAUAAUAAUAAUGAUGAUGAUGAUAACUAGAUCCUUGUUCAUAAGCUGCAAGCGUAUUACUCACACAUUGCUCUUCACUUUCACAAAGACAAAAAAAAACAAAUUAACAGCACUCUUUAUAGUAUAUUUUCUUCUAUCCAGUAAUUUCAUUGUCCUAAGGAUCCAAGGCUUGGGAUGUCUCCACUCCACAACUGUAGGCAUACUAAUAUAAAUAUGAAAAUAGUGCUCAUGCCCAACAUGAAUACUUCGAUCGGAACCAAAAUCAUCCAUGUUCUUUUUGAGCAUAUUUUCACAAACAUAACUCCCAAGCAUCUUGGCACAGAAUACAAAGAGCAUAUCAUUCAAGCUUCUGAUCACCUAAAAAGUUCUCAUGAGAACAAUUCACCAAUCUGUAACAUCCUGCCUUAAAAUGCUUCAACAUUACCUCAAAUAAGAUCUGCCCACGCAUGCUCCACAAGUACCAAAACAGUCCACUGAAUUUGAUGCACACUCUCCAGACUUACAUAGGCCAACACUCCACACAUUAACUUCAAAAAACAGAGGAUCAGCCUGUGUACUACACAAACCCACAUUCUUCCUUCCAAACUUUCACUUUAUCAUUUGAGUUCAAGAACUAAGCCAUAGUUCUCAGAAUUUCACUAGCACACUACUUUAACUUUGUCUUGCAUGUUUUGAUUACAUUUAUCUUAUAUCCAUUCGCAACAGUCAUAUCUAAUAAUGAACAGAGGAUACAGGAAAUAGAGUGGUUCUAACACAGUAUACUAACAGUAUAAAUGACACAACAACUAACUAUGAGGGCUGCCCAAAAGAAACCCAUCUAAUUUAGUUUAUUUCUAAUACCAUAUAUAUAUAUAAAAGCUUUAACUAAACCGAGCAAUAUAUCACAGCAUCCAACUUUGAAAUAUCCCCUUUACACCACCAUCCUUCUUCAAAUCAAAGGCAACAACAUACUUAUUCAGAUAUCUCAACCACUCAAAUCAUACACACAUUCUAACUGCAUCACCAAACAACUCAGGAUCCAGUCCUGGUUCAGAAAAAGAGAUCAAGGUGAGGGAAAUGCUGAAAAAAAAAGGUUCGGUUCUCAGUUUCCCUUCAAACUAAAUUCUCCCCCACAGCAUUGAAAUCUUAAAUUCUAUGAAAUAAAGGCAAAAUAAAAGAGUGAAUUAUUUUUAGAAACUCAAACGAAUUAAGAUAUGAGACUGCUAGAACCCUAUCAUCAAGUCCACAAUUGCAAGAUCCACUGAUAGUAAAGAAAAAUGAAAAAAAAGGAGAAAAC